Molecule: long non-coding RNA, 1177 nt
Organism: Bos taurus (domestic cattle)
Lineage: Eukaryota; Metazoa; Chordata; Mammalia; Artiodactyla; Bovidae
Source: Ensembl
UUUCUAUCCACCUCCUCCAUGUAGCCUUCUCUCACCAUCCCAGCCCAAGAUGAUCUCAUCUGUCAUUCCUCACUGAUUAUCAAGCAUCAUUUAUUAUCCUUUUGUGUCCAGUUUCUUUGCAUCUCCAGGCCAUGACUUAUACAUUUUGGCCUCAAAUUCCUGCUGACCAGGGGGUCUGCCCCUCCUCCCUCCUCACCCAUCAGGAAGAUCUGCUGAGCAUCUCCGGGGUGGAGAAAGGACCAUCACACCACAACAACGGUAAUCAACUCUGGAAUGGAAAAGACUGGCGGCAUGUCCAGGAUAAAGAGGAGCCCAGGUUGUGCUGUUAGGCCUUGAACAAGUACCAGCAGGCAUGCCCAUCAAAGAUGCAGUACUUGCUCCGGAUGUCCCUGAGGCUGAGAUGGGAGGGCAAGAGCUGACGCGCCUACUUCUUCCUAGAGGCCAAGGUCCCAGCCAAGUAGAAGGCAGAAAAGAAACAGCAGUUACAAGUGUGCAACCCCUUUCUCCCCGCUCCCCCCACUCGCUGCUUGGACUGAACAGAAUCCAGAAAACUGAGGGAGAAUCCGGCUGAGUGGACCUGGAGUCUGCAGGGACCGAGUUGAAACAACCUUCACUGGGCGUGGUUGGCGCCCAACCUGGGAGGAAUCAGUGUGAGAUUCUGGCGCCACCUAGACGUCAGGGUGGGGAUUGCAAGCAUAGCGGGGAUGGCGACUCCCAGGGAAAUUUGGGCAGUUCAUCCCUGGGUCAUAUCCUGGGAUGAGAGGCCCACGUCAGGCAGCCCCUCCCUUCAGAUGGACACUGUGUGUGACCACUGUGUGAACGAGUGUAACAAGUGUAAGGUGUGGUUCUGAGAAGGGCCUGGGAGGGGACUGGGACCCCAGCCCUUGGCUGAGACUCUCGUCUCCACCCAGUCUGUCCUCCACGUUGGCUUAGUGUGGCCUUUCAACACCAUGCCAGAGUCUCCCGAGCCUGUUGACCACUCAUGACCUUCUUCCGAGACCCUAAUACCCAUUCUUGCGCAGUCUCCCUCCCUCCCAGCCCCUCUCAGAACUGUUUUCUUGGGUGUGGUGCUGACCUAGACCACGGGACUUGGGUGAAACCCCAGCUCUGACCCUGUACUGUCUGCAUGGGUUUAUUCCCAUACGAGGAAGUUCCUUCUUCUGGGCUGGUAUAGCCU